Molecule: long non-coding RNA, 2252 nt
Filed under: Urocitellus parryii (Arctic ground squirrel)
Lineage: Eukaryota; Metazoa; Chordata; Mammalia; Rodentia; Sciuridae
Description: lncRNA (ENSUPAG00010020163.1)
Source: RNAcentral
CAGGUUUGUCUGACUUUGCUAUUUUGUGUCCUUCAUGUUGCCCUUUAUAAUUGUUUUCUCAGGUUUGUACCUUCUGCUCCAUCUCCUCACCACAUCAGCCCCCGGAGAGUUCCGGCUCCUUCCUCAAUACUGCAGAGAACACAGCCUCCCCACACCCAGCAACCAUCAGGUUCACACCUGAAGUCCUAUCAGCCAGAGACGAACUCUUCUUUUCAACCAAAUGGUAUCCACGUCCAUGGAUUUUAUGGACAGCUGCAGACCUUCUGCCCCCCUCAUUACCCUGAAUCCCAGAGAACUGUGCCRCCUGGCAGCUCCUGCAGUGUGGUGCCUUCCUUUGAGGACUGCCUGGUCCCCACGUCCAUGGGCCAGGCUGGCUUUGACGUUUUCCACAGAGCCUUCUCGACUCACUCAGGCAUUGCAGUGUAUGAUUUGCCUUCAGCUUCCUCAAGCCUUUUUGGGGAGUCUCUUCGCAAUGGGCCUGAAGACAACACGUUCUUGCAGAUCAGUGCUGUGGACCGUUGUCCUAGCCAGCUCUCCUCUGUCUAUACUGAAGGCUAGAAGCAUCCCUGGUCUCUGCUGCACAUCCAGAACCUUUUGGUUGCUUGCCACCUUUUGUUCUCCUACUCUUACAGAGUGCACGAAGAAGGAUGUCAACCAAGUCAGUGGGACCUGUAGGGUCACUGUCUUUGGAAGGACUGGAUGGUUCAGAGCUGGCUUUACAGGAAUAUUUGCAGUUGCUCCUUUUUCUCUCUGGGUUUGCUGGACCAGGUGGCCAGCAGGACUGUCUUCUCAAAGGGAAUUUUGAGUCUCACUCUACUGGAUACCUGUUACUUCYUGGAUGUCAGCCCUCAAAGGACACCAGUGAAAUGAUGUGCAUAUGAAAAAGUAGUUUGGGGAUGACCCUUGCUGAAAACUCCAAAGAGGGAAGGACAGCCCAUUAGCAGGGGCAUAUCGAGCUGUCUCACCCAGUGUUCUCCCUCAUGGCUGCUGGGGCACAAGGAGGGAGAUCCAUUUCCAAAGCACAGUGUGGUCUUAACACAUGGCAACUCCCUGGGUUUCCCUCUUAGAUAUCCUCAUGCUAACYGGUUGCUUCUCAGUAUUUCUCCAAUGACAAAAUAAGUCUUUAUAUGUCAGCUUUCUACUUUGUUCUUGGAUUUUAAAGACUUGUUACUUACAUCUUCUUUAAAAAGAAAAAAUUUAAAGGUUUGUUCUUUGGAUAGAAAUCACUAUUAAUUCAAUCACCCAGUUACACUUAUUUUGCCACAGUGUGGCUCUGCCUGGCCCCACCCCUGGAAUAUUAGUUUUACAGUUAGCACAAGGCUACCUGAGGGAAACAGGGUAGGCGCUCUCUCGCUCUCUCUCUCUCUCUCUCCCUCUCUCUCUCUCUCUCUCUCUCUCACACACACACACACACACACACAUACACCUACUUGCUCCCAGUGCUGUAGCAGGAACCCUUCUGGGUUGACUGCUCAUUGACUUGAAAACAUUCAAUGGAAAAAGUCAUUUGAUUGGUCCCCCAUUGCCUGCACUCUGGUGUUCUGCCUGAGAUGUGCCAGAAAACAGGAGAACAGGAUGCAUUGCAUCACGGCCAGGGUCCUCUUGGAAAACCAAAUCAGGGAGGCCUGAUCUCCAUUUUAUUUGCAUAGCCUCUGCUCAGCUCCUUCAGGGAGUCCACUUCUGUCUCCUCUGUACUUGUUCCCUCUCUCUUUUUGAAGACAUGCCCACCACCUGCCUUGUCCUAUCAACUCUUGGAGAAGUAGAGGAAAUGGUUCACAAAAGGUGGGCUGAGAAGGGAACCCUUUUUUAGAACUCUAGUUUAAAGGCUUGGAAUUUUUCACAGUGCAAUUGACAGUUUUAUAUCAAGCCUAAAUAGGAAGUAAUUUUCAGUGACACCUUUACAAAGGUAUUUAAAAGAUACUGUGUCCUAGGGCAUAGGCUGUAAAAUUUGGCCAUACCCCAAAGAUUCAGUCCAUUACAACAUUAUGGUACAUUCACAUUUCAAGUUUCUUUUUCUCUCUUUAAAAAAAUUUUUUUCUGAACAAAAGUGAAAUAAUGCUAUUUAUCCAACUGAGAUAAUUGCAGGCUUCAAUAAGACAAUUAAAUAGCUCACUGUCAGACUUGGGAUCCUAUGACAGUUUGUAUCCUGAUAGACAUGUCCCUCCAUUCUGGUUCCAAAAUCAGAAAUGUUCUACCUGAUCCCAGUAUUCAUUUCAAUUCAUGGUGGAAUAAAGAACCAAGUGUGGAUUACA